UACGUAGGGUGCAAGCGUUGUCCGGAAUUAUUGGGCGUAAAGAGCUCGUAGGUGGUCUGUUACGUCUGCUGUGAAAUCCUAGGGCUUAACCCUGGGCCUGCAGUGGAUACGGGCAGACUAGAGGUAGGUAGGGGAGAAUGGAAUUCCCGGUGUAGCGGUGAAAUGCGCAGAUAUCGGGAGGAACACCGGUGGCGAAGGCGGUUCUCUGGGCCUUACCUGACACUGAGGAGCGAAAGCGUGGGGAGCGAACAGG
This 253-nucleotide ribosomal RNA is filed under the name uncultured bacterium. RNAcentral's name for it is "partial 16S ribosomal RNA". It matches the Rfam family "Bacterial small subunit ribosomal RNA", at positions 524 to 776 of the family's 1533-position model. The record is from RNAcentral.